UGAGGAAUAUUGGUCAAUGGUCGAGAGCCUGAACCAGCCAAGUAGCGUGCAGGAUGACGGCCCUAUGGGUUGUAAACUGCUUUUAUGUGGGGAUAAAGUGCGUGACGUGUCAUGCAUUGCAGGUACCACAUGAAUAAGGACCGGCUAAUUCCGUGCCAGCAGCCGCGGUAAUACGGAAGGUUCGGGCGUUAUCCGGAUUUAUUGGGUUUAAAGGGAGCGUAGGCCGUUUGGUAAGCGUGUUGUGAAAUGUAGGAGCUCAACUUCUAGAUUGCAGCGCGAACUGUCAGACUUGAGUGCGCACAACGUAGGCGGAAUUCAUGGUGUAGCGGUGAAAUGCUUAGAUAUCAUGAAGAACUCCGAUUGCGAAGGCAGCUUACGGGAGCGCAACUGACGCUGAAGCUCGAAGGUGCGGGUAUCGAACAGG
RNAcentral lists this ribosomal RNA (424 nucleotides) under Verrucomicrobiota bacterium. RNAcentral's name for it is "Verrucomicrobia bacterium partial 16S ribosomal RNA". It matches the Rfam family "Bacterial small subunit ribosomal RNA", at positions 355 to 776 of the family's 1533-position model. The record is from RNAcentral. Lineage: Bacteria; Pseudomonadati; Verrucomicrobiota.